UAACACUGCCGAUAUUUUCAUCGAUUGUUUCGUGAAAAUUGAUUUCUUAUUGCGUAAAUUCAAAGUAUCGGAGUUAUUCAAAAAUUUUAUUCAAUAACCUGCGUUUUACAGCAGCUGUAGCAGGUAAGUUUUGCGUGCUAGGUGAAGUGCAGCCGUUGCUUACUUACAAGAUCAUUUGUGUGUCCGUCCACGUUCGCUGGUGAGGGUAUUUUCCCCACUGCAGCCUUUGGUUUGGUCAGGUGGAGAAUUUGCAUUCAUACAAGUCAGGAUCAUUUGUGUGUCCGCCCACCAAAUGUGAUUCAAUUUAAGAUAUUGAGCACGUAAUUUUUAAAUGCAACAAAUAUAAUAAUUUAAAAAAAAUUAAUUUAUGUAUAUACAUUACAUCAAUUGCAUCUUUACUAUUAUAUACUAGUAUAUUUCUUCAUAUCGCACACCGUCUUCAAAAGAGUCACAACUCAAA
This is a long non-coding RNA of Rhagoletis zephyria (snowberry fruit fly), 460 nucleotides long. RefSeq lists it as uncharacterized. The record is from RefSeq and is a predicted model, not a curated record. Lineage: Eukaryota; Metazoa; Arthropoda; Insecta; Diptera; Tephritidae.